RNAcentral lists this ribosomal RNA (499 nucleotides) under uncultured bacterium. Its description in RNAcentral is "partial 16S ribosomal RNA". It matches the Rfam family "Bacterial small subunit ribosomal RNA", at positions 28 to 507 of the family's 1533-position model. The record is from RNAcentral.
GACGAACGCUGGCGGCGUGCUUAACACAUGCAAGUCGAACGGGCCCGCCCCUGUUUUUGGGGGUGGGUUGAGUGGCGAACGGGUGAGUAUCACGUGAGUAACCUGCCCCCUGCUCCUGGAUAACUGCUUGAAAGGGCGGCUAAUACGGGGUGUGCCGGCUGGUCCGCAUGGGCCUGGUCGGGAUAGUUUCAUCUUCGGGUGUUUCGGUGGGGGAUGGGCUCGCGGCCUAUCAGCUUGUUGGUGGGGUGAUGGCCCACCAAGGCGGUGACGGGUAGCCGGCCUGAGAGGGUGGGCGGCCACACUGGGACUGAGACACGGCCCAGACUCCUGCGGGAGGCAGCAGUGGGGGGUAGUGCACAAUGGGCGGAAGCCUGAGGCAGCGACGUCGCGUGAGGGAUGGAGGCCUUCGGGUUGUGAACCUCUUUCUCCGGUGGUGAAGGCCCUGUCCGGUGCGGCGGGGUUGACGGUAGCCGGGGAUGAAGCGCCGGCUAACUACGUG